Molecule: ribosomal RNA, 253 nt
Filed under: uncultured bacterium
Lineage: Bacteria
Description: partial 16S ribosomal RNA
Rfam family: Bacterial small subunit ribosomal RNA
Source: RNAcentral
UACGUAGGGGGCAAGCGUUGUCCGGAUUUAUUGGGCGUAAAGAGCGUGUAGGCGGUUUGGUAGGUCCGUUGUGAAAACUCGAGGCUCAACCUCGAGACGCCGGCGGAAACCAUCAGGCUAGAGUCCGGAAGAGGGGAGUGGAAUUCCUGGUGUAGCGGUGAAAUGCGUAGAGAUCAGGAGGAACACCCGUGGCGAAGGCGGCUCCCUGGUCCGUCCCUGACGCUGAGACGCGAAAGCGCGGGGAGCGAACGGG